CUGAACCAGCCAAGUAGCGUGAAGGAUGACUGCCCUAUGGGUUGUAAACUUCUUUUAUACGGGAAUAAAGUGAGGCACGUGUGCCUUUUUGUAUGUACCGUAUGAAUAAGGAUCGGCUAACUCCGUGCCAGCAGCCGCGGUAAUACGGAGGAUCCGAGCGUUAUCCGGACUUAUUGGGUUUAAAGGGAGCGUAGGCGGACGCUUAAGUCAGUUGUGAAAGUUUGCGG
This 227-nucleotide ribosomal RNA is filed under the name uncultured bacterium. RNAcentral's name for it is "partial 16S ribosomal RNA". It matches the Rfam family "Bacterial small subunit ribosomal RNA", at positions 383 to 607 of the family's 1533-position model. The record is from RNAcentral.